UACGUAGGGGGCGAGCGUUGUCCGGAUUUAUUGGGCGUAAAGAGCUCGUAGGCGGCUUGGCAAGUCGGGUGUGAAACCUCCAGGCUCAACCUGGAGACGCCACUCGAUACUGCCAUGGCUAGAGUCCGGUAGGGGACCACGGAAUUCCUGGGGUAGCGGUGAAAUGCGCAGAUAUCAGGAGGAACACCGGUGGUGUAGACGGCUCUCUGGACCGUAACUGACGCUGAGGAGCGAAAGCGUGGGGAGCGAACAGG
This 254-nucleotide ribosomal RNA is filed under the name uncultured bacterium. Its description in RNAcentral is "partial 16S ribosomal RNA". It matches the Rfam family "Bacterial small subunit ribosomal RNA", at positions 524 to 776 of the family's 1533-position model. The record is from RNAcentral.